RNAcentral lists this ribosomal RNA (466 nucleotides) under uncultured bacterium. Its description in RNAcentral is "partial 16S ribosomal RNA". It matches the Rfam family "Bacterial small subunit ribosomal RNA", at positions 29 to 506 of the family's 1533-position model. The record is from RNAcentral.
ACGAACGCUGGCGGCGUGCUUAACACAUGCAAGUCGAACGGAAAGGCCCUGCUUUUGUGGGGUGCUCGAGUGGCGAACGGGUGAGUAACACGUGAGUAACCUGCCCUUGACUUUGGGAUAACUUCGGGAAACUGGGGCUAAUACCGGAUAGGAGCUCCUGCUGCAUGGUGGGGGUUGGAAAGUUUCGGCGGUUGGGGAUGGACUCGCGGCUUAUCAGCUUGUUGGUGGGGUAGUGGCUUACCAAGGCUUUGACGGGUAGCCGGCCUGAGAGGGUGACCGGCCACAUUGGGACUGAGAUACGGCCCAGACUCCUACGGGAGGCAGCAGUGGGGAAUAUUGCACAAUGGGCGGAAGCCUGAUGCAGCAACGCCGCGUGCGGGAUGACGGCCUUCGGGUUGUAAACCGCUUUCGCCUGUGACGAAGCGUGAGUGACGGUAAUGGGUAAAGAAGCACCGGCUAACUACGU